UCCUCACGUAGUGACUGACGAGUA
This 24-nucleotide non-coding RNA is filed under the name Cricetulus griseus (Chinese hamster). Lineage: Eukaryota; Metazoa; Chordata; Mammalia; Rodentia; Cricetidae. The record is from RNAcentral.